Molecule: ribosomal RNA, 322 nt
Filed under: Lamproderma retirugisporum
Lineage: Eukaryota; Evosea; Eumycetozoa; Stemonitida; Stemonitidae
Description: SSU rRNA
Rfam family: Eukaryotic small subunit ribosomal RNA
Source: RNAcentral
UCUGAAUCUGCGAACGGCUCCGCAAACCAGUUGUAAACUAUAGCAAGCAAGCCCGGGGCUGGCCUUCACGGGCCGGCUCCGGGUUAUAUGGAUAACCCUGGUAAUUCUGAGGCUAAUACAUGACAGUACAACCUGGCUGACUGGGCUUCGGCCUGGGAUGCCGGGGGACGUGUGAUUGAGGGCUUGGUAACACCGGGAAGGGGCGCACGUCUAGACCACGCUAUAAAGGUCGGUUUCCCCUUCGGGGGGGGUCGUCCCAGUGGCUCUUGCUGUGUGCUUCUGACCUAUCAACUAGACGGCAGCAUAAGGGACAUGCUAUGGU